GAUGAAGAACGUAGCGAAAUGCGAUAAGUAGUGUGAAUUGCAGAAUUCAGUGAAUCAUCGAAUCUUUGAACGCACAUUGCGCCCUUUGGUAUUCCUUAGGGCAUGCCUGUUCGAGCGUCAUUUAAACCUUCAAGCUCAGCUUGGUGAUGGGUGUCUGUCCCGCCUUUGCGCGUGGACUCGCCUCAAAUGCAGUUGGCAGCUUAUCCCUCGGCUCUAAACGCAGCAGAUUUGCGUCGAGCGUCGUGUGGACGGGCUCUCCAGUAAGCAAACCCCCCAAAAUUGACCUCGGAUCAGGUAGGGAUACCCGCUGAACUUAAGCAUAUCAAUAAGCGGAGGA
This 337-nucleotide unclassified non-coding RNA is filed under the name soil metagenome. RNAcentral describes it as "partial contains 5.8S ribosomal RNA, internal transcribed spacer 2, and large subunit ribosomal RNA". The stretch from base 1 to 120 matches the Rfam family "5.8S ribosomal RNA", at positions 35 to 154 of the family's 154-position model. The record is from RNAcentral.